GCAGGGUGGCCACACAGUAAUCAGCACAAGUUAGAAUGUGGGCAACUCAGCAGUCGUUGCACAGGCACUUUGGUGACUCUAGAUAACCUUGGGCCGAUCGCACGUCCACGUGACGGCGACGACUCAUUCAGAGGUACUUUCUGCACCUGCUAUGGUGACCACGGGUAACGGGGUAUCAGGGUUCGAUUCCGGAGAGGGAGCCUGAGAAACGGCUACCACAUCCAAGGAAGGCAGCAGGCAUGCAAAUUACCUACUCUCGACGCUGGGGGAUAGUGAC
Molecule: non-coding RNA, 277 nt
Organism: Pelobates cultripes (western spadefoot toad)
Lineage: Eukaryota; Metazoa; Chordata; Amphibia; Anura; Pelobatidae
Source: the annotation of a GenBank genome assembly